AAGUCGUAACAAGGUUUCCGUAGGUGAACCUGCGGAAGGAUCAUCAACAAAUCUAAAAUAAUGUUGCAAACCUCUUUCUUUCUCUUCUUCAUUUGGAGGAGGGGUGGAAGGAGGUUGGCAACAAUAUACCAAUGUGAAUUGACACUAUCUGCGCCCUACCUUUGGGUGGGUAUAGAAGUGUUUAUUAGUCUAUGCUGUUCUUUGGCAGCAUAAACAUUAACGAGUUUAAAUAGAGUCUGUUUAAAAUUUAUAAUCUUAUACAACUUUUAACAAUGGAUCUCUUGGCUCUU
RNAcentral lists this unclassified non-coding RNA (290 nucleotides) under fungal sp. RNAcentral's name for it is "partial internal transcribed spacer region". The stretch from base 1 to 46 matches the Rfam family "Eukaryotic small subunit ribosomal RNA", at positions 1786 to 1831 of the family's 1831-position model. Lineage: Eukaryota; Fungi. The record is from RNAcentral.